This 1428-nucleotide unclassified non-coding RNA is filed under the name Hevea brasiliensis (rubber tree). Lineage: Eukaryota; Viridiplantae; Streptophyta; Magnoliopsida; Malpighiales; Euphorbiaceae. The record is from RNAcentral.
CUAAACCCACCGUACAAUGUUGAAUGUCUCUUUUUGUAACCUAUUUGAGAUUAAACAAGUAUGUGUAUGGUAUGUACAUAUGAAGGUUGAAGCUGGAUUUCCAUUUUCACGUUGCUGUGGUAUACAUUGCAUAGUUUAGGACCACAAUGCUAAGGCUCAGAUCAUUGGAUUUCUUUCCUUUGGUUACCCUUCCUUGUAUCUAACCAAAUCGGACCUUAUGAGCAGCAGAGAAAUGCUGAGCUGCCGCUACCAUUGCCACCUCUGGCCUGAAUGGUGCUGGACUUCUUGCACUGUUAGGCUCGCUGACUCUGGUUCUUGCAGGCUCAUCAAAGCACGACAAAAUCCGCCCUGAAAAGCGAGCAAACCAACUGGAAUUCUUUUCUCCGCUCAUUUUGUUCAAGACACUGCUAUUCCUUGCUCAAAGUUGAACUGAAAUAAGAAAAUUGCAAAGCUGAAAGGGGCUGUAAAUUGUAAUCUGUAAGCAGUAGCCCAGUUUUGGUUCGUGGAUUCUACUAACAAUAGAAUUUCCAUUUAUAUAGUACAAAAUAUGUCUUGGUGAUCACGCUUUUAUUGGAAAGAAUUAGGUCUCAGGGGGCUUGAUUGUUGAAGAUUUCUUGAUGGAAACGACAUCCAUUUUUGACCAGAAGAUGCUUGCCAAUGCUGACUGAGUCAUAUUCCCAAGGUGUCUAGCAGUUUCUUUGAUGUUGUUUGCAAACACCCUUCCCACUUCCCACACUUGAAAAAGAAGAAAUUAAACUCUUCUGCAACUGCAAGCUAACGAAUUUAAACACUGUGAUAGCAUCCUUACAAUUUCAAGCCUUUUUCUUCACCUUGUCAAUUACAUUCUUUAAGGUCCUUCAGCAGCAUUAUCAAGUGCAAGAAAGAGGUAUGAGCAGAUGUUUGAAAUUUGUCUGAUCUAGAAACAUUGCAGAUAUCAAGUCUAAAACCAAAACAAAUGCCACACCCUAGUAGUACAUAGAUAACAAUAUCCUUCCCAUUCAACCAACCAUAAAAUCAAGAAAAGAACAAUUAACAUAUUUUCAAUCAUGGAUCAAACAUCUUCAUUAAUCUGCUAGACUAUGUUUACAUCAAUCAGAGCUAUUAAUAUGCCUAAGGAAAAUAAGAGAGCCCUCUCUCUACAAAUUGUAACCAUUAGGAGCAUGCUAGUCCACAUCAAAAUUGGUUGGAGACUGCAUGUAUAAAAAUAAAUUUUUUUUCUCCAAAAAGGACUAAAACUAAAUUAAAUAUCAAAUGAAAAAGGUCAAAAAACUUCAUACCGUAGCAUAUGGGUUAAAUAGAAGUUAAAUUUAAGGGAUUGAUCCGUUUAGUUCUUCGACCAUGGUUUAUGCAAAACCUUGCUUUUUGGAAGAAGUACUUUUCACAACCUUCCUUAGAUUCAGCUUAUGAAACUCUUUCUUCAUGAAGAAC